RNAcentral lists this ribosomal RNA (482 nucleotides) under uncultured bacterium. Its description in RNAcentral is "partial 16S ribosomal RNA". It matches the Rfam family "Bacterial small subunit ribosomal RNA", at positions 30 to 507 of the family's 1533-position model. The record is from RNAcentral.
AUUGAACGCUGGCGGCAUGCCUAACACAUGCAAGUCGAACGGUAACGGGCCUUCGGGUGCCGCUGAGUGGCGAACGGGCGGGUAAUUAAUCGGUACGUGACCGACCGUGUGGGGUAGGGAGGCGAAAGCUAUCCUUAUACAAUACACGAUCAUAGGAUAAAAGGCGGGAACUGCACGGCAUUGCGGCGACUGCGCGGCUGAUUGCUGAUUAGGUAGUUGGUGGGAUAAUAGCUUACCAAGCCGACGACCUGUAGCUGGUCAGAGAGGCUGAUCAGCCACACUGGAACUGAGACACGGCCCAGACUCCUACGGGAGGCAGCAGUGGGGAAUUUUGGACAAUGGGCGCAAGCCUGAUGCAGCCAUGCCGCGUGGAGGAGGAAGGCCUUCGGGUUGUAAACUGCUUUUGUAGGGAAGGAAGAGCGUUCGUUUAAUACGGGAGCGUCAUGACGGUACCGUAAGAAUAAGCACCGGCUAACUACGUG